Oryza sativa Japonica Group (Japanese rice) is the source of this 190-nucleotide microRNA precursor. It matches the Rfam family "MIR812 microRNA precursor family". The record is from Rfam. Lineage: Eukaryota; Viridiplantae; Streptophyta; Magnoliopsida; Poales; Poaceae.
UUUAAACGUAGCCAUGACUUUUCGUGUCCAAAUUUGAUCAUCCAUCAUUCGAACUUUUUAUGAUUAGUAAUUUUAGUGUUAUUAGAUGAUAAAGUACUUUUAUGCAUAACUUAUGUUUUUUAAUUUUUUUUUAAAAAAAAUUCAAACAAGACGAACGAUCAAAAUUAGUUUGCUUGGGGUCAGACCGCCA